UGAUUAGACUCACCUGGUUCGUCCAUCACAUCUCCUUUGAUUCUAAGCUUCCUGGUUCCCAACUCCUGGUCUCAUCAUGUUUUAACUAUCCUCAAAUCAACAUGACGCAGGAGUCAAAACACCCAAAGACGACUGGUUCUACUGUCUGUGUGAAGAAUGACCUCCUCUGUUUGUCUACAAGCUAUUUACUUGACCUAAAAUGGAAAAUGUCAAAAGGUCAAGGAAAAACUGGAGGAAGAAAUGACGAGGACUUAACUACACAACAAAGAAAAUCCUGCUGCUCUGCAGUGGUAAUGGCUCUGUUGGAGAGAAAUGUUUCUAAAAAUGAGCAACAGAAGAAAAAAAAAUAAAAUAUUAGUUCCUAA
Molecule: long non-coding RNA, 365 nt
Organism: Poecilia latipinna (sailfin molly)
Lineage: Eukaryota; Metazoa; Chordata; Actinopteri; Cyprinodontiformes; Poeciliidae
Exons: 2
Source: RefSeq, a predicted model, not a curated record